UCGUGACCCUGACCAAAACAGACCGCGCACGCGUCAUCCAGCCCGCCGAGCGGUCCGCCGCUCGGCCAAGUCCUCGACAACCUCCUCUCCUCGGAGCGGGGGCUCGGGGUAAAAGAACCCACGGCGCCGAAGGCGUCAAGGAACACUGUGCCUAGCCCGGGGACGCGGCUGGCUUGCUGGCCGCACCCCGUGCUGCAAUGCUAUUUAAUCCACACGACUCUCGGCAACGGAUAUCUCGGCUCUCGCAUCGAUGAAGAACGUAGCGAAAUGCGAUACCUGGUGUGAAUUGCAGAAUCCCGCGAACCAUCGAGUCUUUGAACGCAAGUUGCGCCCGAGGCCAUCCGGCCGAGGGCAUGCCUGCCUGGGCGUCACGCUAAACACGCUCCCACCCCCCUCAUCGGGGAGCGGGAUGCGGCAUGUGGCCUCCCGUCUCGCAAGGGGCGGUGGGCCGAAGAUAUGGCUGCCGGCGUAUCGUGCCGGACACAGCGCUAGGUGGGCGUUCUCGCUAAGCUUAUCGCAGUGUAUCCGGUGCGUAGCCGACACGAUGGCCUCUAAAGACCCUUUGAACGGUGCGCAUGACGCUCCGACCGCGACCC
RNAcentral lists this unclassified non-coding RNA (596 nucleotides) under Koeleria macrantha. RNAcentral describes it as "sequence contains ITS1, 5.8S rRNA gene, ITS2". The stretch from base 216 to 371 matches the Rfam family "5.8S ribosomal RNA". Lineage: Eukaryota; Viridiplantae; Streptophyta; Magnoliopsida; Poales; Poaceae. The record is from RNAcentral.